CGUUGUGAGUGGUUGGUGCGUCUCGGUGCCUCCGACUGUCCACCCGGUGCGCUCCAAACCAGCUCCGGCUGAUUUUGGGGGCGCCGUGGGUAGUAGGGUGGUGGUGUGGUGGUGACGUUGCCUGAAGAGCGGUCAGCGGUUGCGUCUGGAGUCUAGAGCGAGAGCGGAGGAACGCGUCGGCAGCAGCUCUCCUCGUUCUUUUACCGCCGCUCGUUGGAGCUCCCACACGAGGACCCCUACCCGUUGGGGGAAGAGCUGUAGAGGCGGCAGCAGCUGCUCCGGAAGGAGCGAUUCAUACUACAGUUCGGCUUGUUACGGUAAGAGCGGCUCCUGUUCGUGAACGGGUACAUGCUACUCAACAGGUCGUUCCUUUUACAACUUAUGUAACGACCUCCUCGGUGCGUCUUGAGAUAGUCCCAACGGGUUACCUACGAAGUUUGAGGACCACGUUGUUCAAUGUACCCAACGUAACCUUUCCUGUUCAUACCACUCCUCUACUUCUCGCGGCGAUUUCGACGUCCUCAAUGACGAGUAAUGAUACUCCUACUCCGACGAGGAUGUCCGUGUACACGACAUACACAACAACCACCGCUUUCCAGUAACUAACGUUUGAAUAGACGACGCUUGACGAUGUUUAGACUCGUAGAUUUCUUCGGUCUCUUGACCCGUGAUCAACUCUUUCGUUUUAUGUAGAUGUAACGACCGAAAAAGGAAUGCCACAGGGGACUUAGAUAAGUCGAACAACGACUCGUACGACGACGGUUAUUGUUCCAAAAGAACUACUUGGAGAGGCGAGGGAAAUAGACGCUCAAAAAGGCACUACGGGUUCUCUUCCAAGAAGGCAUACGCCUGAUAUAGAAACCUUUACUUUGACUCCGUUCCUAGAAGAGAUUUCAGGCUCCCACCCUCUGACUCUUACAGCUCCUCUAGCGAAACUUCUAGAGUGUUGACGGAGACCGAAGACCUUUUGUUUUCUCCUAACGACACUAAUGAGUCCCACGACUAGGUCAUCAACACCGGCUCCUACCCUUCCACUUUUGUAAGGGACAGUAGGAUAACGGGUUCCUCUUCGAACAACUGUGGUUACCGCGACCACUACGCAAACAACCUCCGAAGGAGAGAGUCAACCACGUUCCCUUCUCGUAGCUCCUGACGCAUUUCCGGCCAACGAUGCGUCGUUUGCAAUAGUAGGUCGUCAGACCGACGUGAAUGGGACUCUUCGGACUGAAGUUGAUCUGGUUGGUUUAAGCCGCUACCGUACCAACGGUAAUAUACCCCACAAUGAACACCGGCAGAAUAGGUUCAUAUACGCCUUCGCACCAGUCUGGUGCUAUCACGAACUUACGUCACCUUAAGAUACCUGCACAAACAAAACACUCUUCAUACCGUCUCGCACCGAUGUCCGAUUACACCGAUUACCGUACAGACAGUCACUUGGUUCCCGUAAUAAACGGACAGCACCGAUCUUUAUCACGUCACGCUUACAUUCAGCGAGGAACACUGUUUGACGCACAAGUCUGAGCUCUGGUUCUUCGGGGACGACGGACGAUGUUCAUGUCCAAGGUUGAUAUAUAUCAAGCGACACGAUCCAAACAAAGGGAAUACAGUUUGACGCACGAAUUAGAACCGACUGAGGCAAAAUUUAUUGACAACUAAUUUUUCUUAGUUUACACAACAAGCAAGGUAUUUGAUACAAAACAAAACCAACACCCCUCCGUCACUACCCCUUAUCUUUAAACUUCUCUCAA
Molecule: ribosomal RNA, 1748 nt
Filed under: Triticum aestivum (bread wheat)
Lineage: Eukaryota; Viridiplantae; Streptophyta; Magnoliopsida; Poales; Poaceae
Description: partial small subunit ribosomal RNA
Source: RNAcentral